AGGUAGUAUAUUUACAAACCAAUUUAUCAUGACGGCAUUUCAUUUUAUUAGAGGAAUUUGUUUUUUAAUCGAUAAUCCACGUUAAUUUUCACUUCUAUUAAAAUUUUAUAUACCGCCAUCUAAAGAAAUAAUUUAAAAUUUCAUUCUAAAUAAAAAAUAAAAAGUUAGGUCAAGGUGUAAUCAAUAUGAAAGAUAAAAUGAAUUACUUUUAACAAAAUUAAAGGAUUUUUUAGAUAAACUUAAAAAUAAAUUAGGAUUUAAAUGUAUAAUAUUAAUAAUAAUCUUACUUGAAUAAAAUAAUAAAUGUGU
Molecule: ribosomal RNA, 309 nt
Filed under: Hermippus septemguttatus
Lineage: Eukaryota; Metazoa; Arthropoda; Arachnida; Araneae; Zodariidae
Description: partial 12S ribosomal RNA
Source: RNAcentral